GCACCCGUAGCUCAGCUGGAUAGAGCGCUGCCCUCCGAAGGCAGAGGCCAGAGGUUCGAAUCCUCUCGGGUGCA
Molecule: transfer RNA, 74 nt
Organism: Paracoccus seriniphilus
Lineage: Bacteria; Pseudomonadati; Pseudomonadota; Alphaproteobacteria; Rhodobacterales; Paracoccaceae
Rfam family: tRNA
About the family: Transfer RNA (tRNA) molecules are approximately 80 nucleotides in length. Their secondary structure includes four short double-helical elements and three loops (D, anti-codon, and T loops).
Source: Rfam